Onychomys torridus (southern grasshopper mouse) is the source of this 1044-nucleotide RNA transcript. It is a transcript of the gene named anaphase promoting complex subunit 16, with no coding region annotated. The transcript is spliced from 5 exons. The record is from RefSeq and is a predicted model, not a curated record. Lineage: Eukaryota; Metazoa; Chordata; Mammalia; Rodentia; Cricetidae.
GCCAUAAAAAAUUCCCCGCAGCGCCGGGCGGGCACGCGCACGCCCGCCGUCUACGUCGUCGUAGCGGACGGAGCCGCACGGCUCGAUCCCGGGGGCGGGGCUGUCAGGCAAAGUGCACAAGCGACUCGGUGAAGAGAGACUUCUGCUGGAGGGAAUGGCUGCCUCCUCGUCCUCAUCUUCAGCUGGUGGGGUCAGUGGCAGUUCCGUCACCGGAUCUGGCUUCAGUGUUUCAGACCUGGCCCCGCCACGGAAAGCUCUGUUCACCUACCCCAAAGGAGCUGGAGAGAUGUUAGAAGAUGGCUCUGAGCGAUUCCUCUGUGAGUCGGUGUUCAGCUAUCAAGUGGCUUCCACGCUUAAACAGGUGAAGCACGAUCAGCAAGUUGCCCGGAUGGAAAAACUGGCCGGCUUGGUGGAAGAGCUGGAGGCUGAUGAGUGGCGGUUUAAACCCAUCGAGCAGUUACUGGGGUUCACACCCUCUUCGGGUUGAUGUCGCCUGCACAGUGGCCCCUAAGGCACAGCCACCCAGAGAUUGACAGCUGUCCUGGGAGCCGCACGUCGGAGUUCACAUCCAUGCUUGGUUCCUCUGUUUCUAUUAAUAGGCCACAACUGCUCCUCUGCAUCUCCAGCCCUGCUGACAGGACCCUGCCUACUUUUUGAAGAUGCACUGUGUCUCUGCACCUUUCUUGGCCAUUGUCUCCUCCAUACUUUGGGCUAGAAAUGGACCGUCUGACUCGACUCUGAUCUGUGCACUCAGUGUGGGCCAGUAACUAGCAAGCCUUAGUUACCCCUUUCUCUGCGUGCAAACUGCAUAAUAUCCUCCAACACACACCAUGAAGAGGAACUUGAAGCCUAGAGCAAGCCAGACAGCUAAGAUCAACCCCAAAGCUGAGACUUAAAACAUCCUACUCUAGUCCAGUGCCCCCAACCCUAAACCUUGUACAAAGAAAGUGUCUAGGGCUGGGAAGAUGCCUCAGUCAGGAGAGCGCCUCUCAAGCACAAGGGCCUGAGUGUAAGCUCCAGAACCCACAUACAAGCCAGGCAUGG